RNAcentral lists this long non-coding RNA (282 nucleotides) under Oryza sativa Indica Group (long-grained rice). RNAcentral's name for it is "lncRNA OsLima_07g0015430". The record is from RNAcentral. Lineage: Eukaryota; Viridiplantae; Streptophyta; Magnoliopsida; Poales; Poaceae.
AUGGAUACAUGGGUCACACCUCCAGGUGUCGGCCGGAUCUGGGCGAUGCUUGUGCGAUCAACGACCGCGGAGAUCACGGUCCCUCUUUGCCCAUCCCUUCUUACCCUUGAGAGUCGCAAGUACGGAUCUGAGGUUCAUUGUGUCGUCAAAUAUGGAUACAUGGGUCACACCUCCAGGUGUCGGCCGGAUCUGGGCGAUGCUUGUGCGAUCAACGACCGCGGAGAUCACGGUGUCGGCCGGAUCUGGGCGAUGCUUGUGCGAUCAACGACCGCGGAGAUCACG